This is a long non-coding RNA of Rattus norvegicus (Norway rat), 2349 nucleotides long. RefSeq lists it as uncharacterized. Lineage: Eukaryota; Metazoa; Chordata; Mammalia; Rodentia; Muridae. The record is from RefSeq and is a predicted model, not a curated record.
GUUCCCCCCGCCCCCUCCGACUGCUAGUGGAAAGGGAGCGGGGCGCUGUCAGCCAAGACGCGGCUUGGGGGCGCCAGGCAGCCUGGGACAAGGGGAGAUCUCAACUCCAGGCUUGUGCGAGAUUAAAUGGUGGAAGACGCUCCGGGGAACCUAAGGUGGCUCUGGACCGGUUAUAGGCUUUAACUGAGCAUCCAAUUAAGUAUCGGAGCCGUGGAACUAAGGGACUUGAGGAGAGGGAACUGAGGUCUGCGUGGGGCUGAGGGUGAGUAGCUUUAAAGUCAUUUGGGGACAGAAGCAGGAACAGAACUUGGACUUGGAGCACUCAAAUCCCAUUUGUCUGAAAGCUACUGACCCUCUGGUCUCUCACACCUUGUUCUGGAAAGGAAAUGUAAUACAAUUUUUAAAAACAUGUUUAAUAAAUCCCAAACGUAGUGCAUUAAAGAUGCCUAAAACUGGACUAGAUCUCCUUUUUAGGAUAUUUCUUCCCAUGAUCCUCUAGAGAAGCCGAUAAGAAAGGGAUCCAAACCGCAAAGUAAAUGAUAUUAUAAUGAAGCCAAGCUCCUGAGGAUGUAGACCCUUUGUUACUGCAUAUGUGUGUGAGAAAUGCCCUAGCGCCUUCGUUUCUGUUAUAUUGGAAUAGCUUGCCUUCAACCUCAAGAACAUUUAACCACAAAGGGGCAUUCCGACAAUCAGGAGGCACACUUUCCAAGAUACAGCUCCGGUUUUCUUGGUUACUGAACAACAAACUCCUUUUUGGGGCUGCUCAAGGUCCCGUGAUAGAUCUUAGGGCUGUGUGUCAGCUAAAAAGAUUGAAGCUUUGUAGUGAAAGCUUUCAGCUUUUACAAACAGGAGGAAAGCUUGAUCUAGCUUUUAGAACCCUUUCUCCCAGCUCCAUCAGGCACUGCUCAUCUUUUACUGAACAGUACCCCCUCUCAUUUUGAAGAGGAGGAUCCUAGACCCUGAGCCAAGAGCCUUUACCAGUUUUCCUUCUUUCAACAGCUCGCUCAGAGCAGCUGGUUUGCACACAUCUUUGUUCUUUCCCCAGGGUGGAGAGCAGAGCAGGGACGCCUUGGGGUGGAGGGAUGCUAUCUAGGUUGUCAAUGCCAAGAGUUAAAAAAAAAGCAGGAAAAAAUAGAGUAGGUGGAUUUUAUUUUCACGGCUAUCCAAAGCGACAAAUCUCGGUUUUAAAGUGGGGGCACUGGAAAUAUUCUAGAAAGGAAAAAAAAAGUGGAAGAAAGCUUGGUAUAUGGCAGGUUAAAGCCCGUGGGUCGGCCAAGACUGGUCAGACAGUAGCUAGCGGCCUGGAAUGACCAACAGCUGUAGCAAUUGCAGAGCACCUCACUCUCCGCCUAUGGGAGACCAGCCUGAGGCCUGUGUAUGUGAUCAGAUGCUCUGACAUUUCUUUGUUCUCUCCCACAUCUCCCUGCAAGGAGCCCCACCCUCUCCCAGUAAGGAACCCCACCCUCUUAGCGGUAAGGACUGUCCUGGAAGCUGGAAGAACCCUGCCUUGCAAGGGUAGGUGUAAGUUGGGGUUAAUGAAGAGUAAGAUGUGAACUCUGCCUCCUGUCUUAGCCUCAUGGGACAUUUGUUUUAAGUAUUAACGAGCUCUGUCACCUGGUUCACACUUAGUGAAGGAAAAUAAGACCUGCUCCCAAAGUCCUCCAAAGAAUACACUUGGAUCAGAUACUAGAUUUCAAAGGUUUACUGAGUGGCCUCAGAGAAGCUUCCAGACUCUGACUAGCAUGCAGUAGAACUGCUAAUAAGUCAAAGGCAGCAACUAUUACUUCCUAAAUUCACUUUUUGCAUUCACCACCUUAGUUAAUCUAAUGACAGGGUAUUCUGACCCCCUUGUGUGCUGCAACACCCUAUUUUGUUAAGUUUGUCUCACUUUUGGCCAUAGUCUGUGUAUUCCUUAAUCUCUCUGGGACCCUUUCAGAGACCCUCCACAGUCAAAAUUUUUGUAUAAUAAUCUCAUGAUGCAAAAGGUGAACAAGACUGCCCAUCACUGAUCAAGACAACAUAGCCAAUUGGGUGAGGUGGUAUGUGGAUGGAAGGACUCCCAGUGUCCAGGAGUAGAGGCAAGAGGAUCAGAAGUUCAAGGUCAUCUUCAGCUACACAGCCAGUUUGAUGUGAGCCUGUGCUACAGGAGACCUUGUUACAACAAAACAAAUUACGGCACCAAAUCACAAAGGUCCUUGAGGGGGCUGUGGACACAACCCUGUAACUCCAGUUCUAGGUGAUCCAAUACCCUUGUUGGGCCUGCUUGGCCACUGCAUGCAUGUGGUACUCAGACAUAUAUGCAGACAAAAUGCAUACACAUACAAAAUAAAAGUAAAUCUUUUAAAAAGA